GACGAACGCUGGCGGCGUGCUUAACACAUGCAAGUCGAACGGACUAUUUCAUUUCGGUGGGAUGGUUAGUGGCGAACGGGUGAGUAACGCGUAGACAACCUACCUCUUAGAUGGGGACAACAUCGCGAAAGCGGUGCUAAUACCGAAUGAAGUGACUUUCCUGCAUGGGAGAGAUACUAAAGGUGGCCUCUAUUUAUAAGCUACCACUGAGAGAUGGGUCUGCGUCUGAUUAGCUAGUUGGCGGGGUAACGGCCCACCAAGGCGACGAUCAGUAGCCGGUCUGAGAGGAUGAACGGCCACAUUGGGACUGAGACACGGCCCAAACUCCUACGGGAGGCAGCAGUGGGGAAUCUUCCGCAAUGGACGAAAGUCUGACGGAGCAACGCCGCGUGAGGGAAGAAGGCUUUCGGGUCGUAAACCUCUUUCAGUUAGGACGAAGCUUUAUUGGUUAAUAACCAAUUGGAGUGACGGUACUUUCAGAAGAAGCCCCGGCUAACUACGUGCCAGCCGCCGCGGUAA
RNAcentral lists this ribosomal RNA (519 nucleotides) under uncultured bacterium. RNAcentral's name for it is "partial 16S ribosomal RNA". It matches the Rfam family "Bacterial small subunit ribosomal RNA", at positions 28 to 523 of the family's 1533-position model. The record is from RNAcentral.